RNAcentral lists this unclassified non-coding RNA (355 nucleotides) under soil metagenome. RNAcentral describes it as "partial contains 5.8S ribosomal RNA, internal transcribed spacer 2, and large subunit ribosomal RNA". The stretch from base 1 to 120 matches the Rfam family "5.8S ribosomal RNA", at positions 35 to 154 of the family's 154-position model. The record is from RNAcentral.
GAUGAAGAACGUAGCGAAAUGCGAUAAGUAGUGUGAAUUGCAGAAUUCAGUGAAUCAUCGAAUCUUUGAACGCACAUUGCGCCUUCUAGUAUUCUGGGAGGCAUGCCUGUUUGAGCGUCAUUAAACCUCUCUCAAGUAUGAUUACUUGGAUGUGAAGGAAGAGUACCUUAAGCUUAAGGAGUGUUCUCCUUUGAAAUUGAUUAGCAGAUGGUAAUGUUAUUAAAUCCCUGAUGUUGUAAGAAAUAACAGUGGUUUUGUAGACUAUUAUCUAGCUUUAAAUUAUAAUUUUUAUUAUGGUUGACCUCAAAUCAGGUAAGGAUACCCGCUGAACUUAAGCAUAUCAAUAAGCGGAGGA